UCCGAAGGGGGCUAUCGUUGUUCGGAAUUACUGGGCGUAAAGGGCGCGUAGGCGGCGCGUUAAGUCAGGUGUGAAAGCCCUGGGCUCAACCCAGGAAUUGCACUUGAUACUGACGUGCUUGAAUCCGGAAGAGGAUGACGGAAUUCCCAGUGUAGAGGUGAAAUUCAUUGAUAUUGGGAAGAACACCAGUGGCGAAGGCGGUCAUCUGGUCCGGUAUUGACGCUGAGGCGCGAAAGCGUGGGGAGUAAACAGG
This 253-nucleotide ribosomal RNA is filed under the name uncultured bacterium. Its description in RNAcentral is "partial 16S ribosomal RNA". It matches the Rfam family "Bacterial small subunit ribosomal RNA", at positions 524 to 776 of the family's 1533-position model. The record is from RNAcentral.